Molecule: ribosomal RNA, 460 nt
Filed under: uncultured bacterium
Lineage: Bacteria
Description: partial 16S ribosomal RNA
Rfam family: Bacterial small subunit ribosomal RNA
Source: RNAcentral
CCUACGGGAGGCAGCAGUGAGGAAUAUUGGUCAAUGGACGAGAGUCUGAACCAGCCAAGUCGCGUGAAGGAUGACUGCCCUAUGGGUUGUAAACUUCUUUUAUAUGAGAAUAAACUGUUCCACGUGUGGGCUUUUGUAUGUACCAUAUGAAUAAGGAUCGGCUAACUCCGUGCCAGCAGCCGCGGUAAUACGGAGGAUCCGAGCGUUAUCCGGAUUUAUUGGGUUUAAAGGGAGCGUAGGUGGAUUGUUAAGUCAGUGGUGAAAGUUUGCGGCUCAACCGUAAAAGUGCAGUUGAAACUGGCAGUCUUGAGUGCAGGAGAGGUGGGCGGAAUGUGUGGUGUAGCGGUGAAAUGCUUAGAUAUCACGAAGAACUCCGAUUGCGAAGGCAGCUUACUGGACUGCAACUGACACUGAGGCUCGAAAGUGUGGGUAUCAAACAGGAUUAGAUACCCUUGUAGUC